CAAAAACAUCGCCUCCUGACUAACCAUAAGAGGUCAAGCCUGCCCAGUGACAUUGUUCAACGGCCGCGGUAUCCUAACCGCGCGAAGGUAGCGUAAUCACUUGUUCUUUAAAUGAGGACUAGUAUGAACGGCUUCACGAAAGCUAUGCUGUCUCCUUUAUCCAAUCAGUAAAACUAAUCUCCCCGUGAAGAAGCGGGGGUGUAUCUAUAAGACGAGAAGACCCUAUGGAGCUUUAAACACUUUAAAACAUUUGAGUACCAUAUUAUCAGGUUCUGCAAAUUUCACUAAGCCCCUCAUUCUGCUUUAAGUUUUAGGUUGGGGUGACCCCGGAGAACAACCCACCCUCCACGUAGAAAGGACCUACCUUCUAAGCAAAAAGCCACAUCUUUAUGCAUCAACACAUUGACCUAAAUUGACCCAAUUAUUUGACCAACGAACCAAGUUACCCUAGGGAUAACAGCGCAAUCCGCCUUAAGAGCUCCUAUCGACAGGCGGGCUUACGACCUCGAUGUUGGAUCAGGGUAUCCUAGUGGUGCAGCAGCUACUGACG
Molecule: ribosomal RNA, 550 nt
Filed under: Allobates tapajos group sp. ABGD cluster 60
Lineage: Eukaryota; Metazoa; Chordata; Amphibia; Anura; Aromobatidae
Description: partial large subunit ribosomal RNA
Rfam family: Bacterial large subunit ribosomal RNA
Source: RNAcentral